CGACAAGAUAUUACCACGGCGUAACCUGCUCUACUGACCAGGGGACAGACGAGCCCCAGUCAUCUAUGAGCCCCAGCGACACAGCGGGGUGGAGAUUAACCCCCAGGCGCCGGAUCCAGGUGGCCGCGGAAAGCAGUACCUGCUCUGUCAGGGUUGCCAUGAAAACAGUCCCUCCGGUGAGGUGCUAUCCAACAGAACUUACUGCAAUAACGGAAGCAGUCCAUUCGCUGCUGUCCAGUAGUCACUGGCCACACUGAGCACUUGGAGGGUAGUUGGUGUGUCUGGGAAACGUAACUUUUCCCUUUUAUUUUUUUAGUUUGAAUUUAAUUCAAAUUUCAGGGCACCUGGGUGGCUCAGUUGGCUGAGCAUCCGCCUUCAGCUCAGGUCACGAUCUCAUGGUUUGUGGGUUCGAGCCUUGCGUCGGGCUCUGUGCUGACAGCUCAGAGCCUGGAGCCUGCUUUGGAUUCUGUGUCUCCCUCUGUUUCUGCCCCUCCCCCGCUCAUGCUGUCUCUCUCUCUCUC
Long non-coding RNA from Acinonyx jubatus (cheetah), 521 nucleotides. RefSeq lists it as uncharacterized. The record is from RefSeq and is a predicted model, not a curated record. The transcript has 2 exons. Lineage: Eukaryota; Metazoa; Chordata; Mammalia; Carnivora; Felidae.